UCUCCCUCCUCUGCCCGCCAAACCAAUGAAGGUAGUUGGGCUACCUUUCUUCUCCUUCCUUCGUUUUUUUCUUCUCUUUUCUUGCAUGAAAAUUGAUAAAACUAAUAUUUGUUAGUUAUUAAAGAGUGGGUAGCAAGAUAUUUGCAUAAAAAACUUGGGAACUUAGAGAAUCGGAGAAAAACUUCUAGUAAGGUGCAGCUUGGCGUAAAAUUUAGUUGGAAAAAGAGGAGUCGACCAAACCCUUGUUGUAAGACCCUCGUGGAUCGUGUAGGUAGGUCGUGGUGGGGUUCAAUGAUGGCGGUUCUUUGGCUUAAUGUACAUGUUAUGUGAUGAAAAAAUGUAAGUUAAGUAAUAUUUUGGAUUUGUGAUUAGCUGGCUAGUGGAUAUAGGCAAGUAAUAUAUUUUGGAAGAAGGAAAUUGUAAGUCCUUUAUUAACUGUGUUGUUGUGGUCAAGUACCUUAAACUUAUAUUUUUUUUUGUAAUGACUUAAAGGACGGUUUUCUGGCGUAUUAGUCCGCUAAUCUAGGGUUAGACUUCCGCUGCUUAGUUAAUAAAU
This is a long non-coding RNA of Spinacia oleracea (spinach), 556 nucleotides long. RefSeq lists it as uncharacterized. NCBI's taxonomy places the organism in Eukaryota, Viridiplantae, Streptophyta, Magnoliopsida, Caryophyllales, Amaranthaceae. The record is from RefSeq and is a predicted model, not a curated record. The transcript is spliced from 3 exons.